UGCCAGCCGCCGCGGUAAUACGGAGGGUCCAAGCGUUAUCCGGAUUUAUUGGGUUUAAAGGGUUCGUAGGCGGGAUAUUAAGUCAGUGGUGAAAUCCUACAGCUUAACUGUAGAACUGCCAUUGAUACUGAUAUUCUUGAAUUCACCUGAAGUAGGCGGAACAUGACAUGUAGCGGUGAAAUGCUUAGAUAUGUCAUAGAACACCGAUUGCGAAGGCAGCUUACUAAAGUGAUAUUGACGCUAAGGAACGAAAGCGUGGGGAGCGAACAGGAUUAGAUA
RNAcentral lists this ribosomal RNA (279 nucleotides) under uncultured bacterium. RNAcentral describes it as "partial 16S ribosomal RNA". It matches the Rfam family "Bacterial small subunit ribosomal RNA", at positions 506 to 784 of the family's 1533-position model. The record is from RNAcentral.